Rhagoletis zephyria (snowberry fruit fly) is the source of this 481-nucleotide long non-coding RNA. RefSeq lists it as uncharacterized. Lineage: Eukaryota; Metazoa; Arthropoda; Insecta; Diptera; Tephritidae. The record is from RefSeq and is a predicted model, not a curated record.
CACAGACGCCUAACGAAUACGCGCGUUUCGAGCCGAGUACAGCAGCCGCCGUCCACAUUAAAGACCGCCGCCGUCGCAGCAGCAUUCAGAAGUUCAAUUGUGCCGGCCAACGCCAGUCGAAGUUAGCAGUCAGCAGUUAGCGGCAGCAUCCUCCCAGCAACCAGUAUCAUCAGCUGUCAAACGAUUCUAAAAGCGUCAAGCAAAUACUAAAGAUUUUUGUGUGUGCAAAAGCAGCAAGUAAAAAAAAGAAAAGAAAAAAAAACGCCAACGCGCAGCCGGAAACGUAUCGAAUCGGAUUAAAUUUUCAAGUGUUUUGAACAAAAGUGCCGACAAGUGCUUUUGAGCGAGCGCUGACGCCCCAGAAGCCGUCGCUUAACACCAGCAGAGAAACGGAAAAAAGGAAAUGAAUUAAACUGAACUUUAAACAAAUAGCUAAGACGAGUGUAUAUUUCAAGCAAAAUAAGAGAGCUAAAAAAUUAAC